RNAcentral lists this long non-coding RNA (539 nucleotides) under Durio zibethinus. RNAcentral's name for it is "long non-coding RNA (DZIB_LNC000432)". The record is from RNAcentral. Lineage: Eukaryota; Viridiplantae; Streptophyta; Magnoliopsida; Malvales; Malvaceae.
GACUAUUUAUGGUCAAAUUUAAAAAAAAAGGGUUUCAGGUCGGGUCGGGUCAGUUUUAUUUUUUGAAAUGUCAGAUUCAGGUCGGGGUCGAGUUUGUAUGAAACUCGACCCUACCCAACUUGAAAUAUUUACCAAAAUACCCUUAAUAUAUAUAUGUAAUUUUUUUUAGGGUUUUUGAAUUUUAAUUUCUUUGGGUCGCUUUGUCUAGGUCUCCUUUACUUUUAGUUGUAAGUCAUCCAUUCUGCUUCUAUCUAAAGUGAUGCUAGGCUGCUUCACACAGGUGCGCUUCGCUCGGCCACAUGAUGAACAUGUUUUGAGCUAACUGCAUGUCGAGCGCUUAAGCUCCGCUUGUGGUCACUCGUUCCUCGCUUGUUCCAAUCCUAGUAAAGAGCUUCAGAUCUGAUUUUACGCUACAUAAGAUAUUCCAUUCCGACCCUCACUAGCUCUUCGCUUAGUUCUACAAGGAGCAUGCCCGAGGGGGCUACUACGUUCACCAUGCAUUUGCAUCACCACUUGAGCUUCGCUAUCGCUUCACCCAA